Molecule: ribosomal RNA, 465 nt
Filed under: uncultured bacterium
Lineage: Bacteria
Description: partial 16S ribosomal RNA
Rfam family: Bacterial small subunit ribosomal RNA
Source: RNAcentral
GACGAACGCUGGCGGCACGCUUAACACAUGCAAGUCGAACGAGAGAAGAGAAGCUUGCUUUUCUGAUCUAGUGGCGGACGGGUGAGUAACACGUGAGCAAUCUGCCUUUCAGAGGGGGAUACCGAUUGGAAACGAUCGUUAAUACCGCAUAACAUAAUUGAGCCGCAUGAUUUGAUUAUCAAAGAUUUAUCGCUGAAAGAUGAGCUCGCGUCUGAUUAGCUAGUUGGUAAGGUAACGGCUUACCAAGGCGACGAUCAGUAGCCGGACUGAGAGGUUGAUCGGCCACAUUGGGACUGAGACACGGCCCAGACUCCUACGGGAGGCAGCAGUGGGGAAUAUUGCACAAUGGAGGAAACUCUGAUGCAGCGAUGCCGCGUGAGGGAAGAAGGUUUUAGGAUUGUAAACCUCUGUCUUCAGGGACGAAAAAAGACGGUACCUGAGGAGGAAGCUCCGGCUAACUACGUG